This 783-nucleotide long non-coding RNA is filed under the name Gossypium raimondii (Peruvian cotton). RNAcentral's name for it is "long non-coding RNA (GRAI_LNC009347)". Lineage: Eukaryota; Viridiplantae; Streptophyta; Magnoliopsida; Malvales; Malvaceae. The record is from RNAcentral.
AAACCCACCAAAAAAUCAGUUAACCGGAAAAACAAUUUCUAUUAAAUGUUUAUGGUAGUGCCAUUAUUUGAUUUUCUCACCCUGAAGUUCUCAUCGAGCUGGUUGGCAUCAUUGCCAACAUCAACAAGUGCGACCAACACAAGUUGAGACCGCCCAUUGUUGAAAAUCCAGUGAGCCACUCCAGCAGGCAAGGCAACCACAUCACCCUCCUUCAACCGUCUGAGCUUUUGGUGCUGAUCUCUUUGUGGCCUAUCUUGUAUACUUUGUUGCGACUGUGAUUGAUAUGUCUCGGGACAACCUGGGAAGACAGCCCCAUGAAUACCCUCCCCUGUAUAUUUUGAAAACCAAAAGCAAUGUCAGCAGCAAUAUCAAUACUACGGUCCUACAUACAUUGAAGCUGCAGAGAGAGAAUUGUAUAGUGUUAGAAGACCUUGUUCAACAUAGAAAAGCAUAGGAGCACUGGUAAAUGAAGGCAAUAAAAGUCCUUUGCGCUGGAUCUUAUGACGUAGGAAAGCAACACCAGCACACUGGAAUUGAUCCUCAUUUUGGUCCCAGAACUCAGUUUCACCAGCCUCUGACCUAAACCGGUGCUUAGGCUGAAGAGCAUUCAAGUUCUGGAGUUGGCAUUGGGAUUGGUGACGUGGCUGAGGUUGCUGAGGCUGCCCCCAAGGUUGAUCCUGGUGAUGGUUAGUGACGAGAUCUAUCUGAGCAAAGCAGCCAUGGAAGAGAACAAGCAAGCAAACGCUAAAAGAAAGCAAAGAAGUGUAAGCCAUUAGAAAAUUU